GGACCUUCUGUUUUUGCGCUUAUUAAAUCAACUUGUUUCUAUUCUGGUUAUUAUUUUGGAUGGCCUAGAAUGUCUUUAACUCAAAUAUCUUUCACCCUACUUUGUUGUUUGUUGUCCCACUUUUUUCACCCUGCUUUUUUUUAGUAGUAUCAAAAAGAAAAAUAUGUUAAGUUUAGUUUACUAGAGACUAGUAGAGGAAGGGCUAAAACAGCUUGCAAUUAAAAUUAUAAAAAUGGAGAUGAAAACUAACCUCAUGAUGUUUUCAUUGUAAAGAGGAGAAAAGAGAAUUAUAAACUUUUAACAAAUUACUAAAUAAAAGUUUCCAUAAUAGACAGUAUCAAGGUUUUGGGUCAAUUCUUUACUAGUAUAAAGAACGCUAUGCCAUAUGUAUCCUGAUGAAGCUUCACUUGGACAAAUGACUUCAUGCCAAACCGGCUACCCUUUUUGAAUGUACUGUUUCCAAAAGAGGCGUCCUUUCCAAAGCAAUAGUGAUUCAUAGUAUAGUAUAGUAUAGUGUAUUCUGACAAUAAUUUCAGGUUACAACAACCUCUAGGGUCAGCUCAUAAUAAAUAAUUCAUCAAUGCUUAGCUAGCUAUAUCACGUUCUGGAGUGUACAGUAAUCUAUGUGCUGUUGUGCAUGCAAAUUAGUUUUAUGUAGGAAUCAAAACAAACACAACAAAUCGAUAUCUGUCACCGUGGCAUGAACUUCAGGGGGGUUCCUUGAAAAUUUUUAAGGCAAAGUAAUUAUCAUUUGUCUCAUCUUUUCUCUCAAUGGCAAUAGCUGGAGCAACAGCAAGCCUUUCUACCGGAGGUGCUUCUGAUAUUGAAACAUAACUUGCCCUUGCUUAUUUUCUGAUUCUAUAUAAACUUCUUCUUCAGUCUCUGGUUCAUCAUCACUAGCAGAGUCAGUGAAAUCAGAUUCUCCAUCACUAAAAUUUUAAUCAAGUAUAAGUUCAUGCCAUAUUUACAAGGAUACUCUUAAAGGUUACCUCCCACCUUAGAAAAACUUUUUUCUCAUAUCGUAGAUAAUGCUGACUUAUUAAGACUUCAAUAAUUAUUUUGCACAAUUCAUUAGUGCAACUUAGAAAUAUUGUAUUCUCUCUUACUAUUUUUACCAAAAGUGCUGCCUUUGACAGUAAUGGCAGCCUUCUUCUGCAAAACGGUCUAGCUCAGCAGAUACGAGAAAAAAUGUAAACAAAUGAUGUAGAGCUGGCUAUGAAGCAGACCGGUUUUGCGGGAUUAAACAACCCAUUUUUAAAAAAAUGUGUUUAUGCGCGCAAGCAGGUUCCUAUUUUUGUUCAAUAAAAAAUUAAUUCGAAAGUAAACAAAUUACAAAAUUUUAUUGCAAUAGUUAAAAUUUUAAGAAUGGAUCCGUCUUUCUCUGCCGUAGGCUGUCAAAACCACAGAAAAAGAAAUCCGGAGUUAUCAUUUUUCCAAAUCCUGUGUGAUAAAUCUACUGCUGCUACUUCAAUAGCAAACAUGAAAAGAACUGAUCUUUCAAAAACUAUUUAUUUAUGCGAGGAGCACUUCCAAAGCAACUGCUUUGAUAAGUCUAUCGAUUUAAGAAUUCAAAUAAUGCAAUGUAAUCAUAGCAUACAACGUUUUUUCUUUGUGUUAGUCCAGUUGUUUUCAUUAUUGGAAGGACUGGUAAGAAGGUUGUGAUACUGAACACAUUGUAUAUUGCGAAUGUAUGAAUUAGUCGUUUGUAUUGCAGGUUUCAGAAAAGCACCCCGUAAGUUGGUCUUGAUGGCUGUUCCAACAAUAUUUGUACACAAACCUGAACAUAGAAAAAGAGUUAGCGUCGUUCAGAAGUUACUAAAAAAGAUGGUGAAAGAAUGGGGAAUUUCUGUGCACAUAUUUCUGGCUGCUUUUUCUUCGGUUUUUUGUUUUAUUUUUUAUGCAAAGUACAUUAGGUUAUUAUGGCUGCAAUAGCGACAUCGGAAGCAGAGGUUUUAAAUUCUGAACCAAACCAUGGAGAACAGAAUUUACUUCUGAAUGCCGACGAUAAAAGACUAAUAAAAGACAUCGUUAAAUAAAACGAAAAUAUUUUUACAACCUACUUAGAAGUGUUUCGUUCACUAAAAAUUCAUUAUUUGCCAAGGGAAUUUUUUACAAACAAGAAAAGAUGAUAUGGGGCGUCCAAUCAGCUGCUUUAGAUCAUAACCAUAACAUUGAUAGACCACAGGUCAAUAUAAAAAUGUCACUUUUGAAGUCCACUACUUCAGAAUGUAGAGUGUAUGUUGGAAAUUUACCGCAAUUUGUUCGUAACCGAGAUUUGGAAGAUAUUUUUGACAGAUAUGGUACUAUAAGGGGAAUUAAUAUUCAUAACAGAUUUGAUCCAGCUUUUGCAUUUAUUGAAUUUGAAGAUCCACGAGAUGCAGAAGAUGCAGUACAUGAUAAGGAUGGAACAAAGUUUGAUGGUCAGGCUAUAAAAGUUCAAUUUCCAAGAGGCAACUCUUCUAGCUACGAUGAUAGAAAUUCUGGAAGCAGUCGAGGAAGACCUGGUGGUUAUACAAGAGGAAGGGGCAGAGGUCAGCCUAUACGUCGAUCUGAAAAUAGAGUAUUGGUGUCGGGUCUACCAGCCACCGGUAGUUGGCAAGAUUUGAAAGAUCAUAUGCGAGAAGCAGGAGAGGUUGUUUAUGCAGACGUGUAUAAAGAUGGGACCGCUGUUUGUGAAUUUUCUUCCCAUAGCGAUAUGAAAUGGGCUGUAAAAUAUUUAGAUGACAGUAAAUUCAAGUCACACGAGCUGGAUACAAUACACUAGGGAAACAGAUGCAACUAAGGAAACAUGUUGCUAAGGAACAGAUGCAACUAAGGAAACAUGUUGCUAAGGAACAGAUGCAACUAAUAAACAUGUUGCUAAGCAAACAGAUGCAACUAAGGAAACGUUGCUAAGGAACAGAUGCAACUAAGAACACACUUAGGGAAACAGAUGUUGUUACUGACAACGGAUGUUUUAAGGAAACAGGAACUGACAAAUUCGGAAUGAGACAUCAUAUAUAAGAGUGAAAAGAGAUUCAUCCAGAUCGAGGUCACGAAGUAGAUCUCCGCGAAGAAGAUCUAGAAGUCGCAGUCGAUCAAGAUAAGCUUGAACUUUUUACUGACCACUUCCAUACAUAACUUUAUCAUACAUUCAGCUCAUCGCUUGUAAUAUUUUUAAUUAUGUGUUUUUAUGUAUCUAUUAUCUCUGUAUAACACAUGUAAUCAAAUAA
This is an RNA transcript of Hydractinia symbiolongicarpus, 3212 nucleotides long. It is a transcript of the gene named serine/arginine-rich splicing factor 1-like, with no coding region annotated. The record is from RefSeq and is a predicted model, not a curated record. Lineage: Eukaryota; Metazoa; Cnidaria; Hydrozoa; Anthoathecata; Hydractiniidae. The transcript is spliced from 6 exons.